Molecule: long non-coding RNA, 592 nt
Organism: Saccostrea cuccullata (small rock oyster)
Lineage: Eukaryota; Metazoa; Mollusca; Bivalvia; Ostreida; Ostreidae
Exons: 4
Source: RefSeq, a predicted model, not a curated record
CGAAAGUGAAAGUAGAAAUUGUGUACACGUUAACAAUAACCAUCUCGAAGUUGAAGUUAAACACGCAAUCUGGAGCUCGGUAUCACAUCUGACUAGCACUUCUGAAAUGGAUCAAAUCGGACUUUGUCGUUGAGACUCGGAAAAACCCAGCUGCCUAAAUUAUAAUGCCAGUGGAACUCAAAACAGAAAAGAUACUUGUAUGCAAGACAUGGAGAAAAUAGCAGACUACAGCCUCUAUAUACCAUUCCUUGGUGCCUCCUUGAAUUGAUGUUUUUCCGGAUAACCAUGGAGGAAUAAAGGUUAACUCAGUAUAAAGUCUUGCUGACAUGAACAUGAUAAUCACAAGAAAGUGAAUAUAUUUCAUCACCUUAAGCAAUCUUCGAAAUACCAGGUAAAGUGCAUUUAUUCUGAACACAUAUCAAAUAUUUAAACCCAUUUAAUAUGUCACCCCUAAUUUUUUUUGAAAGUAUACUGGAAACACAAUGUCUGUUUGCCAGUCUCUCUGUAUAGUAAUUAUAUAUGGAAGCAUAUAGUUUUUAAAUACUAGUAGCUUUUUAGUUCACCUGAGCCGAAAGCUCAAGUGAACUUUUCA